UACGAAGGGGGCUAGCGUUGCUCGGAAUCACUGGGCGUAAAGCGCACGUAGGCGGAUUGCUAAGUCAGGGGUGAAAUCCUGGAGCUCAACUCCAGAACUGCCUUUGAUACUGGCGAUCUUGAGUCCGGGAGAGGUGAGUGGAACUGCGAGUGUAGAGGUGAAAUUCGUAGAUAUCAAGCGGAACACCGGUGGCGAAGGCGGCCUUCUGGACAGUGACUGACGCUGAGACGCGAAAGCGUGGGGAGCAAACAGG
This 253-nucleotide ribosomal RNA is filed under the name uncultured bacterium. Its description in RNAcentral is "partial 16S ribosomal RNA". It matches the Rfam family "Bacterial small subunit ribosomal RNA", at positions 524 to 776 of the family's 1533-position model. The record is from RNAcentral.